This 301-nucleotide ribosomal RNA is filed under the name uncultured bacterium. Its description in RNAcentral is "partial 16S ribosomal RNA". It matches the Rfam family "Bacterial small subunit ribosomal RNA", at positions 509 to 807 of the family's 1533-position model. The record is from RNAcentral.
CAGCCGCCGCGGUAAUACGUAGGGUGCAAGCGUUAAUCGGAAUUACUGGGCGUAAAGCGUGCGCAGGCGGUUCGCUAAGACAGAUGUGAAAUCCCCGGGCUUAACCUGGGAACUGCAUUUGUGACUGGCUGGCUAGAGUAUGGCAGAGGGGGGUAGAAUUCCACGUGUAGCAGUGAAACGCGUAGAGAUGUGGAGGAAUACCGAUGGCGAAGGCAGCCCCCUGGGCCAAUACUGACGCUCAUGCACGAAAGCGUGGGGAGCAAACAGGAUUAGAUACCCCAGUAGUCCCUGUCUCUUAUAC